AACGAACGCUGGCGGCAUGCCUUACACAUGCAAGUCGAACGGCAGCACGGGAGCAAUCCUGGUGGCGAGUGGCGAACGGGUGAGUAAUAUAUCGGAACGUGCCCGGUCGUGGGGGAUAACGUAGCGAAAGCUACGCUAAUACCGCAUACGAUCUACGGAUGAAAGCGGGGGAUCGCAAGACCUCGCGCGAUUGGAGCGGCCGAUAUCAGAUUAGGUAGUUGGUGAGGUAAAGGCUCACCAAGCCGACGAUCUGUAGCUGGUCUGAGAGGACGACCAGCCACACUGGGACUGAGACACGGCCCAGACUCCUACGGGAGGCAGCAGUGGGGAAUUUUGGACAAUGGGCGCAAGCCUGAUCCAGCAAUGCCGCGUGCAGGAUGAAGGCC
This 386-nucleotide ribosomal RNA is filed under the name uncultured bacterium. RNAcentral's name for it is "bacterial SSU rRNA". It matches the Rfam family "Bacterial small subunit ribosomal RNA", at positions 29 to 416 of the family's 1533-position model. The record is from RNAcentral.